RNAcentral lists this ribosomal RNA (406 nucleotides) under uncultured bacterium. RNAcentral's name for it is "partial 16S ribosomal RNA". It matches the Rfam family "Bacterial small subunit ribosomal RNA", at positions 30 to 526 of the family's 1533-position model. The record is from RNAcentral.
AUUGAACGCUGGCGGCAGGCUUAACACAUGCAAGUCGAGCGAGCGGCGGACGGGUGAGUUAUGCCUGGGAAACUGCCUGAUGGAGGGGGAUAACUACUGGAAACGGUAGCUAAUACCGCUUACCAUCUGAUGAGCGCCGCUGGGAUUAGCUAGUAGGUGGGGUAAUGGCUCACCUAGGGGACGAUCCCGAGCUGGGCUGAGAGGAUGGCCAGCCACCCUAGAACUGAGCCACGGUCCAGGCUCCGACGGGAAGCAGCAGUGGUGAAUAUUGCACAAUGGGCGCAAGCCUGAUGCAGACAUGCCGCGUGUGUGAAGGAGGCCUUCGGGUUGUAAAGCACUUUCAGCGAGGUGGCGUUACUCGCAGAAGAAGCACCGGCUAACUCCGUGCCAGCCGCCGCGGUAAUUC